UCCAACAAUGGGAAUGUGGUUGCCUCUUCCU
This 31-nucleotide non-coding RNA is filed under the name Homo sapiens (human). Lineage: Eukaryota; Metazoa; Chordata; Mammalia; Primates; Hominidae. The record is from RNAcentral.